UACUUCCGUGUUUACAAAAAUAUUAUGUUCUAUUCGUUUGCAAACUAAUUAUCCAUAUAUAUUUUAUAUGUCAUUGUUACAGGUUAACAUUAGUAUGAUAGUAAACUUAUAGAAGUUUGUUCCUUACUGUGAAUCUUUUUAUUGUAUUUUGACACCUGGUUUUUGUUACUUGAAGAAAAAUUAUGUCUUCUUUUGUGAAGAAAUACAAGAUAAGAUAAUUAAAGUAUAAACAGAUUUCAAAGCAUGUUAUACAAUGAAGGUGGCGUCCUUUAUACAACUUUUUGUGUUUGCCUAUUCCUACAAUUGUAUCGUAGCAAAUGUAAUAGAAGUAAAACUGACAAGCAUUUGCAGUAGUAAGGUUACACUCAGCUAUUCAAUAUUUGACUCAAAGACUGCGGAAAGUUGUGAAUAUCGAUGUUGGAACUGUACGGCAAAAUAUCGAGAGCUUGGCUCAUCAGAUGGUGGUCUUCGCAAGGUCGAGUACUCACACCUUAACGCUGAUGGAGAAAUCAGACUAGAUGGACUGUCUGCGGAGAGUAAUUACAGUAUUCAUUUGAAAUGCGGAGCUAUACAAUCAAAUGAAGUAUUCUUUUUUACUGAAGGUACCAAUACCAGCUGUCCUGACGAUAUAAUCCCAAGCUCAACACUAAGUCCAGUGAUGGUAUUUCAUGAAGACACGUUACUGGGGACAAGAGACUCUGUGCUUGGAAUUGUGUUUUCUCUUCUUGGUCUCCUGAUCAUCUUAAUCACAACUUUUUAUGUGGUACGGAAAAUCAGAAGACGGAGACGACUGGAGAGGAUUCGGACAUACCUUGGAUCAACAAUUAUUGACCCCUUUGAGAAUCUUCAAAACCGUAUAGAGGAGGAUUCCGGGAGUCAGCGACUGAUUGAAGCACUAGAAAACAGGGGCUCAGCUGCUGAAUUGUGAUACACAUGAAGAUACAAAAAAUUAGGGCAUAAAUUCUAUUGGAAUUAUUGAAUCUGAUACUGUUCGUAGUUGAAUUGUGUUACAAGAAGCAUUUAAGGCAUUAAUUAUUCCAUUCAUCAGGGCUGUAAAAUGCUACUGACUUGCUCAAAAUAAUGACUAAAAUUUGGUUCCCUGCAAGUAUGAUGUCAAAAUACUUGCCAGAUCAGACAACCCCUACUUGAGAUCAGUAAGUGCUUUGAUUUUCUAACAGGUACUUGCCUGGUACCGACAUGAAGACACUGUGUAAACUUAUAUUACUGUAUAAUGCGUAAUUAGAUUUGUUUGUAACUGUAACCAGGCAAUAUGUGUUUGCAUGGGGUUAAUAUUUGCAUUUGCACCUUUUAUUGUAAUGCACAGUGUUGAAAACAGCUUGAUUUCUGCAAUUUUUUGGGAAAAAUGUCUUGAGAGGUUUGACAGCUGCAAACAUGAAAAUCUAGGUGAGCAGAAAGUAAGUAAGGGCAAGCUGACUUUGUCAGCUGGUAGCCAUAUAAUGGCUGAUAGCUUUUAAGAGAUUUAUACACACUUGUACAUUUGCUGUUGGAUACUCUUUUUGCAUUUAUUUUAAGAGUUGUGAUACAUGUAGCUAUAGCUUUGUUUAAAAAUCAAUUCUUUCGGUAAUGUUAGAAUUGGAUACUCUUUUGUACUGGUAUUUUAAAGUGAUUUCCCAUUCUUUUAUGUGUGUCUGUAAAUGUGCAUUAGAGUUAACAUAUGAGCUGUCGAGCUCUCGACAAUCAGGGCUUCAUGCAUGUGUGUAAAGUGUCAUCCAAGCUAAUAUUUUCUUCUAUGACCUAGUAAAGGCUGAUACCAACAAGUUGACUUGUGUUGGUGUAGAACCACAAAAUAGUUUAUAUGUGUUUUAUAAACACAUCUGCAUAGAAUAGUGGUGAUUUCCAAAUAGUACAUAUUGUUCAUACUGGAAUGAGUUUAAAUUAUUUACAAUUAUACAAAACACUUAUUUCCUUGAUUUUCAAAUUUCUUCAGAACUGCUAUUUUGGUUUUUCAUAUCAUCUACAUGUUAUCUUUUUUGAAAAGUUUUUGCUACAGUGAGUUCAUAAACUUGUAUACUUGCUUUAACUAAUUUUUUUAGGAAAUGAACGAAAGUUUAAUGCCUUUAAGAAAUCCAACCAAGUGGGCCUGUAAUCACAAACGUUUUAAGUAUAAAAUACAGACUCAGACUUAUAUUUCCCAAAUUUAAAAAUUGAUUUUCUAGAGAUAUCAAAUCGUGUUAAGUGAAUGAAAAGUGAUAUUUGUGUAGUUCUCUUUAUAUUGAAUGUGAUCGUUUUAUGAUACAAAUUAUCGGUAAAAUUAUAUUUGGAUUCUUUUCUUUAGCCUAUAAUUAAGACUUAAAACUUAGGAAAAUUCAAGUCCAACUUAAUUAUAAAUUCAUUAAUUAUUUAUUAUAAAUAAAGGUAGAACUGUUAAAACUGCACAGGCUAAUCUGGGAUAUUACUUAACAUUUGGUGAAUUCAAGUCCAACUUUGUUAUAAAUGCAUUAAUUAUAUAUAGGAUCUUGCAUGAGUGGUCGCGUUGUAUUGAAUUUAUUAAACAAGUCCUCUAAUUAAUGAUUAAAAACGAGGCUUUUUUAUUUUAUGCUCUUUUAACCGUUUAUUCACAUUGUAAAAGAGUUAACUGAAGAAAUUCGCUGGAAUAAUGACGUCAUUUCGUCCAAAAAAAAAGAUGUCAUUUCACAGUUAUUUAACUAGUGUAAUAACACCCGUGUAAUAAACAAAAAUGAGCAUAACAUUAUUUCACGCCUGGAGCGUAGGUAAUGUUAUAAUUACUAAUAAAGGUAGAAAUGUUAAGACUGCACAGGCUAAUCUGGGAUAAUACUUAACAUGUAUGCAUUAAGUCCUGUUUUCCCAGAACCAGGCUCAUUUGAUCUGUAGAUUGUUGAAGAUUUUUAGUGUAUUUUACAACAAGUGUAAUAGAUGAUGUUCUUCUUGUUUGGAAUGCCUGUUAACAUCGUGUACAUUAUGUCAUAUGUAAAUGGUCACACUAGUUGUUGAUAUUGGUAAAUUAAUUAUAAUAAAAUUGAAUUGAAACCAAAGAAAAUAUCAUGCAUUUGUUUGAAAGUCACACAUGACAAUGACUUGUAUGUGUUUUGAAAUUUGAAAAUGUUCAAAGCUUGUUGAUGAUAAUUCUAUUUGUUAUCAAGUUUAUACUUUAAUAUUUGCCCUUUCCAUAUGAUUUUGGUUUCAUUCAGAUUUCAAAAAUAUAUGUUUGCAUUCUAAAAAAAAGAAACAUAUUACAUUGUAUGUUAUAAUUCCAUCGUAAACGUAUCAGUUUAAAAGUUGAAAAAAGAGACAUCCAGUUUUACUAUGUUUUUAUGCCCCCAAAGGAGGGCAUAUAACGGUAGUGAUCGGACUGUCAGUCUCUCCGUCCGUCUUUCUGUCACACUUUGGGUUUAGGUUUUGAAAAAUGCUCAUAACUUCUAUGUCGCUUCAGAUAGCAACUUGAUAUUCGGCAAGCAUGUGUAUCUCAUGGAGCUGCACAUUUUGAUUGCUGAAAGGUCAAGGUUAAAAAAAAACAAGUUCAAGGGAAGUAAUAAGCUUCAAAGGGAGAUAAUUAUCUGUACCUGCCAAAUGAUGGAAAAAAUUAAUAAAUCAAAGCGGCGUAGUAGGGGGCAUUGUGUUUCUGACAAACACAUCUCUUGUUCUUAUUCAAAUGUAAAUCUUUUGUGUUGUAAGCUAUAACAUAGCUAUCACGCCUUAUUUGUUGCACUUUUGUAUAUAAUUUAGUUCACUUUUAAACGAAUAAUAGGAUUUUAUUUUAUGCUUUCCGGUGGUUUAUAGAGAAAUAUCAGUGAAUUAAAACUGAUAAUUUCACUGUUUUAAACAGUGAAAAUUAUCAUUGAAAAUUAUCAGUUAAAAUCAUCAAUAAUUUUCAUUGUUUACUGUGAAAUGACGUCAUUUUUUGACGAAAUGAUGUCAUUAUCACAGCGAAAAUCUUUAGUUAAACUCUUUAACAAUAUAUAUAAACUGUGAAAAAAAGCAUAAAAUAAAAAGAAAAUUUGUUGGAUUCGGUGGAUUAUCGAUUUUAAUUCACUCGUGAUCAUAGAAAAAAAAAUCCAACAAAUAUCCUUUAUAUAUAAUGUGAUAUCAUUUUAUCCAAAACUUAUUUGUGUCUCUUUUUGCCUUCCAUUUGUUCUGAGUUAAGGGUCUGGCCAGUUUAUGUAUUUUUUUUACAUGUUAUGUAUUCAUUAAAGGAGCCUUUUCACAGAUUUUGGCGUGUAUUGAAGUUUGUCAUAAAAUUCUUUAUAUUGAUAAAUUUAUAAUUGGACCUAAAAAUCUUCAGUAAAAAUCAAGAAUACAAUUAAAAAAGUAACCCUCCACUGUUCUUGAACCACUGAUCCCUGGAGUCCUGGAGUAAAAAAGUCUUCCACUUAGACCACUCGGCCAUCUGUGCUCAUGCUAUGAGGGGACGUAUUUUUUACUUUAUAUUAGCAAUCCUCAAAGUUUCACAAAAUAUAACUACAACAAUGGAACUUUCCAAAUUAUUCAAUCAUUUUGCGAUGCAACGCUUUAUAAUUUUCAUGUUUUUAAAUGGUCAAUAAUGGACAUUUUAGAGCAUGGUUAAUGUUCAGUAUUACUAUUUCCUCACAAAUAUCAUAACUAAAACGAAAAUUUGCGAAUCUGACCUUUUUUAAUUUUGUCAAUUUACCAAGACGUGAAAAGGUCCCUAUAAUCCAUAUCUAUUCUGUGACAUGACUUUAUAGUAAUCCAGUUGCCCUUUUUAAUAACUGAUUAAACUAUUGAUUAUUAACUUGGCUGUUUUUGAAGAAAACCCGAGGUAUUUUCAUAGCCGGCUCGCUGUCUGCCAUCCGCCGUGCUCAAACCUUAACAUUGGCUUUAAAAUCAAAGUGCUUCCACCUACAACUCUGAAAUUUCAUAUGUAUAUGCACAUUGAUGAGUUCUACUCACCACACCUAUUUUGGGGUCACUAGGUCAAAUUUCAAGGUCACUGUGACCUCUAAAAAAAAUUAUUCUGACAAGCUUUCAUUUAUUUCAAACUGCACCUGCAGCCGAGCUUGGCCCCCGUUAUGCGGUGCUCUUGUUACAAAAUUUGCUUUAUCAUGUUGUGAUUUUAUAAGAAAAAAAGCUUGUGUGUUUUCAUGUCAGUCAAUUAUAAUUUGUCUUUUUGCUCAACUUAAACAAGUUUUUUUUGUACUUGAACAAGUCAUGCAUAAUUAUGCACCAUACAGAUUCUUAAUGUUUCACUCAAUAUCAUUUUCUAAUGUGGGUAAAUACUAAGGUAAUUUGCUAUGUGUUUUGUUAACCAUGUUUUCCGAAGUAAAAAAAUGGUUAUUAGAUUGGCGAAUGUCUGCGGGCGGGCAAUAACUUUGUCGUUCAUUUUCAGAUUUUAAAAUCAUUUGGCACAUUUGUUCACCAUCAUUAGAUGGUGUGUCGCACGAAAGAAUUACAUCGAUAUCUCCAAGGUCAAGGUCACACUUUGAGUUCAAAGGUAAAAAAUGGCCAUAAAUGAGCUUGUCCGGCCAUAACUAUGUCAUUCAUUGUGAGAUUUUAAAAUCAUUUGGCACAUUUGUUCACCAUCAUGGGACGGUGUGUCACACGAAAGAAUAACGUCAAUAUCUCCAAGGUCAAGGUCGCCACAACUAAAAAUAGAUUUAUUUUGAAACUAAGGGGGUUAAUUGUAAACAAUCAGUUCAGUUUUAGUUGUCUCUCUAUAUCAGCCUUUUUUUCACAUUGAAAACCUGGUUUUGUGACAAUUUUGUUUCUUGUUUAUAUAAAAACACUAAACCAUUGGUGAAAUUAUCAUGUUUGUGUGUCUUUACUGGCUUUAUGUUGGAUAUGAAAGUAUUAAUUAAUAAGACAAAAAUUAAAAACAUCUUGUCAGAAACCACUUGGCAGAUAAGAUUAUUUUUGAAAAGUUUAUGGAUUAUUUUUCUUAAAAAUCACAUCAUGCGAAAAAGGUUCUUAUGACAAAUUCAUCCAGUAUAGCCCCAUACCAGCAUGUGUAUCGCUGUCGAUUAUAAAGUAGGUUUCAUGCUCUUAUUAAUGGAAAGGGUAGACCUAACUUCCCAAACAUACAGGCUGGUCUGCAGCUACACUAGACGCGUAUAGCAUACGACCUAUUUAAGCAUUUAAUUGGUCUUAUUGUAAUGGUAUUUGAAAAACAGUUUCAAACAACAGAGCAAUGCAUUCAUGUGUUAGUAAAUUUAUGAUCUCUUAAUGAUCUUUGCACCAAUUAGUUUUCCUAUUAUCUAUUGCUAAGAAGAUAAAUGUGUAGUAGGUUCAAAUAUUAUGAUUUGUUUUAAGAAAAUAUUUUAAAAUAAUGCACUUGCUAAGUAACACAUUUAAGAAAAGCAAUGUUUAAUGUAUGUUACAGUAACUUACUAUUUGCGAUGUAUGCGUUCUGUAUAUAUAUGAUAUAUAUGUGAAUGUUGUUUUAUUUGACCAUCACCUUGUUAAGUCUUAUUUUCAUUUAUUGUAAUAGCAAUAAACUGCUACAUAAAACAUAUAUAUUCUUUACGGGGUAGCUGUAGUAAAUUAGUUUUAUUAAAAGGGACCCCAUGCAGACUAUACAGAAAUGGGCAUAGUAUAACAAUAAAAAUGUGAACACCAUAUUUUAAAUUGGUAUUUUAGAUGGAAAACUAGCUUCCUACAGAGAGUAUGAGAAUCAUUUAUUCUAAGGAAAUACAUGUACAAAUAGACACCUAACAUAGACUUUGUUAUUCAGUCAUGCAUGUGUAAGUGUUAAAGGAAUAGUUAUUAUGUAGGUUUUUUUAUGAAAUGAAGAAAUUCAUUGAAGCCCUUUCCUUAAAACUCUUGAUCUCUCCCACAAACAAAAGCAAUACUGCACAACACAUAUCACCUGCUCCCAUAGAUUUAGAAUUAAUUUUAUUUUUAUUUGUUAAAUUUUGGAUUUGUUUGUUUGAUUUUUUUUUCCUAUAGCAUAUGUUAAAAGUAAAUAAGACUUAAUUAGUAUGUAUAGCUCAUUGAAGGGAUAUGAAGCUCACAGUCACCAUAACUCUUUGCUUUCAUAUAUGAGUUGUGUUCUGAGGAAAAUGGGCAUACUGCAUGUGUGUAAAGUGUCAUCCCAGAUUAGCCUGUGCAGUCUGCACAGGCUAAUCAGGGACAAUACCGUCCACCUAAACUAGAUUUUUGCUAAUAAGAGACUUUCUUUAAACAGAAAAUAUCAUAAAAGUGGAAAGUGUUGUCCCUGAUAAUCUGGGAUGACACUUUAUGCACAUGCAUUAAAUCCUGUUUUCACAGAGCUCGGCCCAUAUAUUUAGAGUUAUUGCCAGUCAUUGGUUUUUAUUCUUAGAUUUUGUGUGGAGCAAAUCAUAAAAAUUAUAAGAGAUUCACAAGUCUUUUUUUAACUCAAAGGGGCAUCACAGUAUUUUCCUAUAAUAUAUUCAUUAAAACAAUUCAUAUUCACUCCUAUAAUUAUUUUUUUAAAUAACAGUGUCAUAUUGAUGAAACCAUUAAGAACUAGAGCUGUCACUGUUUGUGCCAAAUGCCCACGAAGUGUCAUUUUUAACUCGGCGUUUUCGGAGAAAACCCGAGAUAUUGUCAUAGCCAGCUCGUAGUGUCGUCCGCCAUCCGCAUCGCGCUAAAACCUUAACAUUGGCUCUAAAAUCAAAGUGAUUCGACCUACAACUUUGAAACUUCAUAUGUAGAUGCACCUUGAUGAGUUCUACACGCCACACUCAUCUUUUGGUCAAAGGUCAAGGUCACUGUGACCUCUAAUAUAAAACUUUAACAUUGGCUCUAAAAUCAUAGUGCUUCCACCUACAACUUUGAAAUUUCAUAUGUAGAUGCUCCUUGAUGAGUUCUACAUGCUACACCCAUUUUGGGGUCACUAGGUCAAAGGUCAAGGUCAUUGUGACCUCUAAAAACUAAAAAAAAAAUCUGACAAGCACUCGUAGCCGAGCAUGGCACUAGUUAAGCGGUGCUCUUGUUAUCCAAAAUUGUGAUCUUGUCAUCUUGGCCUUCAAAGUUUUAUUUAUUUAUUGAAGAACAGAAAUCUCAAUUUACUUAUUCAUAUAGUAAAGCUGAUGGCAUUUUUGUUCACUUAUAGCCAUGCUUUGCACAAGAAAAAAAAACAAAGGGAAAAGAUUCUUAUCAAAUACAUGUAUAAUCCACACCUUUUUAUGCCCCCUUUGAAGAAGAGGGGGUAUAUUAUUUGUUGGAUGUCGAUCGGUCUGUCGGUAGAUCAUUUCCUAUCAAUACCUCAUCAUGCAUUGACAGAUUGAAUUGAUACUUAAUAUGUGCAUUUGCCUUGGACAGUAGAUGACCCCUAUUGAAAUUGGGGUCACUAGGUCACAGGUCACAAGUGUGAAAAGCGUUUCUGAUCAAUAACCUCAACUAAUUGACUGGUUGGCUUGAUACUUCCCAUGUGCAUUGGCCUUGGACAUUAUAUGACCCAUUUUCAAUUUGGGGUCACUAUGUCAAAGGUCACUGUCACAAUAAGUGUGAAAAUUGUAUCCGAUCAAUAACUCGUCAACAUUGGCCUUGGAUAGUAGAUGACGCCUAAUGAAAUUGGGGUCACUAGUUCAAAGCCCUGUUUGGGGGACAUAUGUCUUCACCCGGGGAACUCUUAUUUAAUUCUUCUUUCAUUAUUUAAGCUUCAUUGGAUUCCCUAAAUAUUUUAAGCUCGUUGUGAGCUAUUGUGAUCGCCUUUUGUCCGUUGUCACCAUUUAUCUUGUUAAAACUCAAAAGGCCACAUUUAUUGUCCAAUCCUUAUGAAACUUGGUCAGAACAUCUGUCCCAAUAAUAUCUUGGACGAGUUUGAAAAUGGCUCAGUUUUUUAAAAAACAUAGCCUCCAGGGUGCGGGACAGUUUUCCUUAUAUGGCCAGAGUAAAACCUUGUAAACACUCUAGAAGUCUCAUUUAUUGUCCAAUCUUCAUGAAACUGUGUAAGAACAAUUGUUCUAAUGAUGUCUUUGAUGAGUUUAUAAAUGGAUCCAAACUGUUGUAAAAAAUAGCCUCCAGUGGCAUGGCUUGUUUCCUUAUAUGGCUUUAGUAAAACCUUGUUAACACUCUGGAAGUCACAUUUUUAGCCCAAUCUUCAUGAAACUUAUUUAGAACAUGUGUCCCAAAAUUAUCUUGGAUGAGUGCAAAAAUGGUUCUGGUUGAUUGAAAACCAUGGCCGCAAGGGGGCGGGGCAGUUUUCCUAAUAUGGCUACAGUAAAAAGUGGUUAACACUCUAGAAGUCCCAUUUAUUGUCCAACCAUCAUGAAACUUAGUUAGAACCUAAUGAUAUCUUGGAUGAGUUUGAAAAUGGUUCUGUUCCAUUGAAAAACAUGGCAUUUCUCUUGAUGUCUAUAGUUAAACCUUGUUUUAAAGAGUUUGCCAUGGGAAAAUGGAUAUGUGACCGCGCCUAGCCAUCACGGGGUCACAGGUUCCAUCCCCACAAGGGGAGCGUUCCCCCAAAGACACCAAGGACUGGUUCUAGUUCUAGGAAAAGGACUUGAGAGAGUUGCAAUAAACCUGAGGCUUUCGAUGCAAUCAAGCUUAAAUAAAUAGGUUUAAACUAAACAAAAACCUUGUUUACACUCUAGAAGUCGCAUUUAUGGAUAGUUUCAAUAAUCCAACUCCCAGCUUUUAACCCCUCUGAGCUGUACGUAUGUACUCAUAAAAGCUCAGAGCAUUCAAGAACUACUUUUAUCGUCAAAUCUGUAUGCAACUUGGUCAGAUAAUCUGUUCUAAUGAUAGCUUGGCUGAGUUGAAAAUGCUUAUUGUUUGUGGAAAAACAUGGCCACCAGGGUGUGGGACGAAUGUUCCUUAUCUGGCUUAAUAAAACCUUGUUAACACUUA
This is a long non-coding RNA of Dreissena polymorpha, 9747 nucleotides long. RefSeq lists it as uncharacterized. Lineage: Eukaryota; Metazoa; Mollusca; Bivalvia; Myida; Dreissenidae. The transcript has 4 exons. The record is from RefSeq and is a predicted model, not a curated record.